UACAGAGGUCUCAAGCGUUGUUCGGAUUCAUUGGGCGUAAAGGGUGCGUAGGUGGCGAGGUAAGUCGGAUGUGAAAUCUCAGGGCUCAACCCUGAAACUGCAUUCGAUACUGCCUUGCUCGAGGACUGGAGAGGAGAUUGGAAUUCACGGUGUAGCAGUGAAAUGCGUAGAUAUCAGGAAGAACACCCGUGGCGAAGGCGGCUCUCUGGGACGGUACUGACGCUGAGACGCGAAAGCGUGGGGAGCGAACAGG
This 253-nucleotide ribosomal RNA is filed under the name uncultured bacterium. RNAcentral's name for it is "partial 16S ribosomal RNA". It matches the Rfam family "Bacterial small subunit ribosomal RNA", at positions 524 to 776 of the family's 1533-position model. The record is from RNAcentral.